RNAcentral lists this long non-coding RNA (224 nucleotides) under Lathyrus oleraceus (garden pea). Its description in RNAcentral is "Pisum sativum (pea) long non-coding RNA (PSAT_LNC023868)". The record is from RNAcentral. Lineage: Eukaryota; Viridiplantae; Streptophyta; Magnoliopsida; Fabales; Fabaceae.
UUCUUGUGUUAUGUGGUGCUUGGUGUAUGUUGUUUGCAUAUUGUUACUUAUUUCACCCUUUUUGUUAAUGACAAAGGGGGAAAAGAGAUUGUUAUUAUGUUAUUUCUUUGUUUUCUGUUUCUCUCUAACAAAAUGCAGAUUUCGAAAGACUCCUUAAAUCAUAAAUUAAGGGGGAGCAUCAAUUAAGGGGGAACAUUUGCUAGAGAAACAUGCUUGGAUUGAAC